ACUCCUACGGGAGGCAGCAGUGGGGAAUAUUGCACAAUGGGGAAACCCUGAUGCAGCCAUGCCGCGUGUGUGAAGAAGGCCUCGGUUGUAAGACACUUCAGUCGGAGGAAGGUAGUGUAGUUAACACCUGCAUUAUUUGUACGUUACCUACAGAAGAAGCACCGGCUAACUCCGUGCCAGCAGCCGCGGUAAUACGGAGGGGUGCGAGCGUUAAUCGGAAUUACUGGGCGUAAAGCGCAUGCAGGCGGCCUGUUAAGUCAGAUGUGAAAGCCCGGGGGCUUAACCUCGGAAUUGCAUUUGAAACUGGCAGGCUAGAGUCUUGUAGAGGGGGUAGAAUUUCAGGUGUAGCGGUGAAAUGCGUAGAGAUCUGAAGGAAUACCAGU
RNAcentral lists this ribosomal RNA (383 nucleotides) under uncultured bacterium. RNAcentral describes it as "bacterial SSU rRNA". It matches the Rfam family "Bacterial small subunit ribosomal RNA", at positions 335 to 713 of the family's 1533-position model. The record is from RNAcentral.